GGCGAGUGAGGGGGCCGGCGGCGGGUGGAAGGAAGGAGGGAUCAAGAUGGCUGCGGCGGCGCGGGCGGCCCUUACCUGUUUUCUCCUUGAUCUCGCAGAGGACACUGAACAAGGCGGGUUUCAUCCUGUGGCAGUUCACAGUAUCUUGUCAGGUUUGUAAUUCAUCUGCCGCCCACUUCGGGGGACAAGAAAAGAAAGAAAGAGGAAAAGUUGCGCUGCAAGGGACUGAGGGACGGACAGACAGCGGCUGCGGGGCCGGUGUCCACCGGACAGCGUCCAACGGGAACGGGCAGGGACCAGCCACAGCCUCCCGAGCGACGGCAUAAGCAUCGCGCUUUGGUCAGUGAUGGUCAUGAUCUGAUGGAGGAUAUCGCCGAUGUCCUGCUUCCUGCCGUCGCCGUCCGCCCCGUCGUGUCCGUGGGGAGGCGGCAGGGCCAUGCCCCCCUGCACCGAGUGCCCGGCCAGGUUGAC
Long non-coding RNA from Chroicocephalus ridibundus (black-headed gull), 471 nucleotides. RefSeq lists it as uncharacterized. The record is from RefSeq and is a predicted model, not a curated record. The transcript has 3 exons. Lineage: Eukaryota; Metazoa; Chordata; Aves; Charadriiformes; Laridae.